AGAGUCCGUUACGAUGAAGGAGUAGCGCCCCAUGUGGGCCCCAAGCCGUGCGGCAGCGUCCGUGAGGGCGCUGGCGAAGCGUCGGCAGGGGAGCAUGCAGGCCAGCCAUUGAGCGGCGAAAGAAGAUUGUCCCGGGAGCCGACGCUGUACUCAGAGCGGAAGGCGACGCGGACAGGUGCAACAACGCGAGCACCUGGACGUCCCCGGCGUUACUCGGAAUCA
Bradyrhizobium manausense is the source of this 222-nucleotide non-coding RNA. The record is from Rfam. NCBI's taxonomy places the organism in Bacteria, Pseudomonadati, Pseudomonadota, Alphaproteobacteria, Hyphomicrobiales, Nitrobacteraceae.